UCCAGUGCUGAGGUUGCGGAAGACGUGCAGGAACAGAGAAAGAGGAGAAAGAGGAAAAAGCAGUCAGGACAUCACUUGUGCGGUGGAUCUGAAAGGGACCGUUGCGCCUCCCGGACGGAGAUCCUCAUUUCAGGAAGGACUGGAUGAGUUCUCAGAGUCUCACCCGGGUCUAGUUCACCAGGCUUUUGAGAAAAGACUCAUUUUGGAAUGCCACCUUCUGUAUACGGAGGAAGCACUGUACAGGAAAACCCACAGCACUUUCUGAAAGAAACCAACCCGGGGCUCAAGGGACCAAGCACGGUAAACAGUCAUUCUUUAUUGAAAUACCUGAAAACAGUGAUGA
Molecule: long non-coding RNA, 343 nt
Organism: Tachyglossus aculeatus (Australian echidna)
Lineage: Eukaryota; Metazoa; Chordata; Mammalia; Monotremata; Tachyglossidae
Exons: 3
Source: RefSeq, a predicted model, not a curated record